ACCCCUACGGGACGCAGCAGUGAGGAAUAUUGGUCAAUGGGCGCAAGCCUGAACCAGCCAAGUCGCGUGAGGGAAGACGGCCCUACGGGUUGUAAACCUCUUUUGCCGGGGAGCAAGCCUGAGCACGUGUGCCCAGGCGGAGAGUACCCGGAGAAAAAGCAUCGGCUAACUCCGUGCCAGCAGCCGCGGUAAUACGGAGGAUGCGAGCGUUAUCCGGAUUUAUUGGGUUUAAAGGGGGCGCAGGCGGGCUGUUAAGCCGGCGGUAAAAAUUCAGGGGUCAACC
RNAcentral lists this ribosomal RNA (283 nucleotides) under uncultured bacterium. RNAcentral's name for it is "partial 16S ribosomal RNA". It matches the Rfam family "Bacterial small subunit ribosomal RNA", at positions 335 to 614 of the family's 1533-position model. The record is from RNAcentral.